GGUAUUCCUGCCUUAAACUGACUAACUGAGGCUGAUACUGAGCUUUAGAUGGUUAAGCAUCUCAGACAGGUGAUUAUGUUUAUGUAAUAUUUUUUGUUUUUGUACAGGAUUGUUGAGAGUGUUGGGGAAGGUGUGACUGAGGUUCAACCUGGGGACCAUGUCAUCCCUUGUUACCAAGCUGAAUGCAGAGAGUGCAAGUUUUGCAAGUCUGGGAAGACUAAUCUUUGUGGCAAGGUCCGCGCAGCUACUGGUGUUGGGGUCAUGAUGACUGAUCGCAAAAGCCGUUUUUCUGUGAAUGGGAAAUCGAUAUACCAUUUCAUGGGGACGUCUACGUUCAGCCAAUAUACUGUUGUCCAUGAUGUUAGUGUUGCGAAGAUCGAUCCAGCUGCUCCUCUUGACAAAGUAUGCCUCCUUGGAUGUGGUGUUCCCACAGGUAAGGAUAUUAUCUUAUACGUGUUUAUAGAGAAUGAGGAUCUGAAUCAACCAUGAUUUUCCGGGAAAUCUUAUAUUUAUGGUUGGUGGUGUUUCAUUUCUGCUGGACAUAGUCUAGGGGUAAUUUAUUAGCACAGAUUAAGCACUUGUAGUUAGGAAAUCUAUGCACUUUUAUCCCUUUGAACUUUAUGCAUCUAGAGAAUCUGUUUCUUAUGUUACUGAUGUCUUGAUUUAUUAUCUCUUGUGGAAAUGGCAAUCUAUUUAAUCUGAGAUUUCAGGUUUCCAGAAGUUGUAAUUUGGUGAGCUUUUUAGUAGCAUAUCUAGCUGUUAAUUAUUCUUGUUCUCUGUUAUUUGUUUAUUCUUCCACUCGGUACUUUUAGUACUUCAGUAUGCAUGCUGUAGAUGGCUGAUGUGGGAUGAGUUUAGAUGAUACCAACUGGUGAUGUAACGGUUCUUCAUUCAGGUCUUGGAGCUGUUUGGAACACAGCCAAAGUAGAGGCUGGAUCAAAUGUUGCCAUUUUCGGCCUUGGUACCGUUGGCCUUGCAGUAAGUUCUCUGCAGUGACUCCUCUCUCCCUUUCAAAUGAUUGGAAAGUAAAAUUUUGCAUUGUCUGAGUAAGUGGAUUGGUUUUAUAGGUUGCGGAGGGUGCAAAAGCAGCUGGUGCUUCUCGCAUCAUUGGCAUUGAUAUCGAUAGUAAGAAGUUUGAUAGAGGUAUAACUUUGUUCGUGCUCCCAAUAAUAUAACAUCCUUCUUUUCUGUAGCUAUCGUUAGUAGUUGGAUUGCAUGUAGAUUCGGUUUCAUAAUGUAGUUGCAUAUGCUGGAUUGUAGCUAUCAUUUUCAGUGUUGAUACUGAACGGGGUUUAGUAUUGCAAAAUUACUUGCAUGACCAUAAGCAAUUGCACUGUGCAGCGAAGGAUUUCGGAGUUACGGAAUUCGUGAACCCCAGCGAACAUGAGAAACCAAUCCAGCAAGUCCUCGUUGAUCUUACUGAUGGUGGCGUAGACUAUAGUUUUGAGUGCAUUGGGAAUGUUUCUGUAAUGAGGGCUGCUUUGGAGUGCUGUCACAAGGUAAGUAACAUCUAAACGCAUUGUUGACCCACAUUUAGUACGAUAUUACAAAUCCCGACUUGAGGAUGGAAAAAUUUCAGGGCUGGGGAACUUCAGUCAUUGUGGGAGUAGCAGCAUCCGGUCAAGAGAUAUCGACUCGUCCGUUCCAGUUGGUGACAGGCCGCGUCUGGAAGGGAACAGCCUUCGGUGGGUUCAAGAGUCGUUCCCAGGUGCCUUGGCUUGUCGAGAAGUACUUGAAAAAGGUAAAGUAAUUACAGUUCGUGUUGUGUAUCCAGUAUCUAUCCGUGGUAAAUCGAAAAAUCUAACUGAUAAGUGAUGCUGUUGUGGUACAGGAGAUCAAGGUCGACGAGUACAUCACGCAUAGCCUGACUUUGCCGGAGAUCAACAAGGCGUUUGAUCUGAUGCAUGAAGGAGGUUGCCUAAGGUGUGUGCUCGACUUGCAGGUCUAAGGUUAACAUUCAAGGAGGGAGAGGGACGGAUAAUACUUGGAUGGAUCAUUGUGCUUAUGCCGCUACUUAACGUACUUCGAAAGUGCCGCCUUUUUAACUGUUGGGCGUAGUUUUAUUGUCGUUUGAACAUGGAUUCCGUUCAAGCUCUUGAUUCCUAAACUGCAUAGACUGUACAACGGUGUUUGCAUAAGUUGCACUGAUGUGCCAUUGAUGACUGGAUUUGUUCGGGUUACUAAUAAGAAAGGGUUACUUGAACAUCCACAAACGGUCAUUUUGAGUAUUUCACGAAGAGAUAACCGAUCGUAGUACCAAUUUAAAGUGAGUAAACAGAAUUUCAUAACGAGUACCAAUUUAAAGUGAGUAAACAUAAUUCCAUAACGAAAGUUGUAUGGAUGGCAAAACAAUUCAUGUUCUUUUGUACAUACUAAAAGUUACCUUUGCCUUCAACCACAAGUUAACUGCGAAAUGGGUUGAUUGGAUGAGCAUUUGUGGUGUGUCAAUCUACCAAAAAGCCUUUUCAUGUACUUUUGCUAGAAGCCCCAAAUCUAGGCCCAUUAUAAUCUCGAAGCUAUUCAAACUUGACCCGGAAGGCCCAAACCGCUCACGUGCCGGAUCCGGUUCUCUUGGGAGGCGGCUUGACAAACCAGACCAGUUUGACCAACCCAGCCUACCGAAUCGGACCAUAUUAGUUGGCCAGGAACGACUAUCCGUUCAUUCUUGUGUUCAACUACUUUCACUCGCCACUUCCACUCUCCUCUUCACUCUCUUUUUGCUUUCUAACGCUCGGAUGGCGACUCAGGGCCAAGUCAUCACCUGCAAAGGUACAGUUCUGUCUCUGUAUCUCGUUUGUUUCUGUUCUCCGAUGCUGUUCGAUUCCACUGAUCCAUUCUCUCCGGCGAUCUGGCAAUCCCGAUGUGCUGCCGUUUGGUUUCAGCUCGAUUGUGUUGUGACGGGCAGCUGCGGUGUCGUGGGAACCUAACAAGCCGCUGGUGAUCGAGGAUGUUCAGGUAGCUCCGCCUCAGGCCGGCGAGGUCCGCAUCAAGAUUCUCUUCACUGCUCUCUGCCACACUGAUGCUUACACUUUGGAGCGGCAAGGUACCUUUCAUUGGCUCUCCCUGUUCCAAUGUGUCUUGAAAUGGCUGUAAUUUGAGGUGAUGUUUAUGUUUGUAUUACGUGUGUCUUUUGGACGAGUGGUGUAUUUCGGCUCCACAGUGGCUGGACAUGAUUGUCAUCUUCUUUGGAUGUCUCAGCUGUUGUGUGCUAGAUAAAAUUUUAUGGUUGCUUUGGUUGGAUUAAUGCGAUUCGUCUCAUUUUCCCUUGUAGGAUCCUGAAUGAUUGUUCCCUUGCAUUCUUGGUCACGAGGCUGCUGGGUAUUCAUGCCUUGUGCAGAGUUUGAGACUGAGUUGUAGACUAUUACUCCUCUCAAAUUGACGAAGAUGUUCUUCACCUGAUGGUUUUGGUCAUUUACAGGAUUGUUGAGGUGUUGGGGAAGGUUGAGGUGAAACCUGGGGACCAUGUCAUCCCUUGUUACCAAGCUGAAUGCAGAGAGUGCAAGUCUUUCAAGUCGGGGAAGACUAAUCUUUGUGGCAAGGUCCGCGCAUCUACUGGUGUUGGAGUCCUGAUGAAUGAUCACCAAUGCCGUUUUUCGGUGAAUGGGAAAUCGAUAUACCAUUUCAUGGGGAUGUCUACUGUCAGCUAAUAUACCGUGGUCCAUGACGUUAGUGUUGCAAAGAUCGACCUGGCAGCUCCUCUCGAUAAAGUAUGCCUCCUUGGCUGUGGUGUUCCCACUGGUAAGUGUAUCUUAUCAUAUAUAGGUUUUUCAUUUGUACUUAUUACAGUUUUAU
Molecule: long non-coding RNA, 3792 nt
Filed under: Linum usitatissimum (flax)
Lineage: Eukaryota; Viridiplantae; Streptophyta; Magnoliopsida; Malpighiales; Linaceae
Description: long non-coding RNA (LUSI_LNC003782)
Source: RNAcentral